UUACCUACGGGUGGCAGCAGUGGGGAAUUUUGGACAAUGGGCGAAAGCCUGAUCCAGCAAUGCCGCGUGUGUGAAGAAGGCCUUCGGGUUGUAAAGCACUUUUGUCCGGAAAGAAAUCCUCUGGGUUAAUACCUCGGGGGGAUGACGGUACCGGAAGAAUAAGCACCGGCUAACUACGUGCCAGCAGCCGCGGUAAUACGUAGGGUGCAAGCGUUAAUCGGAAUUACUGGGCGUAAAGCGUGCGCAGGCGGUUUUGUAAGACGGAUGUGAAAUCCCCGGGCUUAACCUGGGAACUGCAUUCGUGACUGCAAGGCUAGAGUAUGGCAGAGGGGGGUAGAAUUCCACGUGUAGCAGUGAAAUGCGUAGAGAUGUGGAGGAAUACCGAUGGCGAAGGCAGCCCCCUGGGCCAAUACUGACGCUCAUGCACGAAAGCGUGGGGAGCAAACAGGAUUAGAUACCCGAGUAGUC
Molecule: ribosomal RNA, 468 nt
Filed under: uncultured Pandoraea sp.
Lineage: Bacteria; Pseudomonadati; Pseudomonadota; Betaproteobacteria; Burkholderiales; Burkholderiaceae
Description: bacterial SSU rRNA
Rfam family: Bacterial small subunit ribosomal RNA
Source: RNAcentral